This 403-nucleotide ribosomal RNA is filed under the name uncultured bacterium. Its description in RNAcentral is "bacterial SSU rRNA". It matches the Rfam family "Bacterial small subunit ribosomal RNA", at positions 355 to 774 of the family's 1533-position model. The record is from RNAcentral.
UGAGGGAUAUUGGUCAAUGGGCGCAAGCCUGAACCAGCGACGCCGCGUGGGUGAAGAAGGUCUUCGGAUCGUAAAGCCCUUUUCCCACUGAAGAGGAAGGACGGUAGGUGGGGAAGAAGUCUCGGCUAACUACGUGCCAGCAGCCGCGGUAAAACGUAGGAGACAAGCGUUAUCCGGAGUUACUGGGCGUAAAGGGCGUGCAGGUGGCGUCUUAAGUCUGUUGUGAAAGCGCCUGGCUUAACCGGGCGAGGCCAAUGGAGACUGAGAGGCUGGAGGAAGGCGGAGGGGUGUGAAAUUCCGGGUGUGGUGGUGAAAUGCGUAGAGAUCCGGAGGAACACCAGAGGCGAAGGCGGCACUCUAAGCCGUACCUGACACUGAGACGCGACAGCACGGGGAGCAAACG